This 75-nucleotide small RNA is filed under the name Leifsonia soli. RNAcentral describes it as "microRNA MIR1846". The record is from RNAcentral. Lineage: Bacteria; Bacillati; Actinomycetota; Actinomycetes; Micrococcales; Microbacteriaceae.
UGACGCCGCCGCUAACGCAGAAGGCCCGGGAUGCUGUCUCAGCAUCCCGGGCCUUCUGCGUUACCGGUGCGGGAU